GAGAGAUCAGGGCAGGGCGGCAGGAGCCUGGCAGCCAGCCGGCAGGUGUGCAGUUUGAUUCGAGAAGAAGGGAACCAUGGCUCAUCCCCCGAGGCUCACCAGACCCUCCAGCCGCUGUCCUCAGUUAGGUCACUGGGGAAUCUCCUGCCUCCUUGGUCCCCAGCUUCAGUGAUACCCAUUGGUAAAAGCUGUUGCAAUCAAGGGACCCCCUAGGCUGUGGCCAAAGCCAGUGCUUGGGGCUGGACUGGCAGCGCUGAUGUAACUGCUAACCCCUGAGUCCUGGUUGGCGGCUCCAUAAAGCUCUGCCAUCGGCCCAGGGCUGGUGGUGCCCAGAAAUCCACCGGUGCGACUGGGGGUGGAACCUGUCCCUCGCACCACAGCUGCCGCAGCUGCUGCUGCUGCCAUUGGUCCAUACGCAGUGAGGGGAAUUGCUGUGAGCUCAGGGAGGACGGGGGCACUCGGGAGAGGGGUCCGCUCUACACGGAACUCAGGGAACUGGUAAGUGUAACCAGGUGCAAUGCCAGUGUAACUUCGACUCGCGUAGGUGGCAGCUUGGAAGCCUGGAUAACCCAGCAUGCCGAUCCCGAGCAUGAAGGCAUCCAUCCCGUAAGGCAUGACUCGGGACCGCCCUCGUGCUGAGCCUGUUGGGGACAUCACCUCCUUGGGCUGGGCUUUUUUGCACUCCACCAUUUUGUUGUUAAUCUCAUGGAAGUGGAUUUCACAUACUUUUUCCACAAUGUCUUCACUUUCAAAUGUGACAAAUCCAAACCCUCGGUGUCGGUUGGUUGUCUUGUCAAACAUCAGCAUCGCAUCAUCCACCUUCCCAAACUGCUCGAAAUACUGUUUCACAUCCUCCACAGUAGUGUUCACUGACAGACCACCCACAAAUAUCUUCUUCGUUCGGGUCACCAUCUUGGGCUGUGCUCGGCGGGGGAACGCUACCUUCGGGUCAAUCGUCUUGGAGUCCAGUUCAUGUCUGGAUUGGGCCAGAACCUUGUCGACGCCAGCCUGGUCCAUGAACGUGACGAACCCGAAGCCCCUGGAUCUCUUUGUCAGCGGGUCCCGCAUCACCAGGCACUCUUUCACCUCGCCGAACUGGCUGAAGUACUCCCGCAGGCCCUCUUGCGUGGUCUGCCAGCUCAGUCCCCCGAUGAACAUUUUGCAGGGGUCGUGCGGGGAGUCCGGGGAGGCGAGGCCGGGCUGGCUGCCGUCUGUCUCCAUUCGGACCUCUUCUCCCUGCGAGGAGCGGCGCCGCACUCCCGGGGCAGAUGAGCGCUGGAAAAGGGGCCGGACGGACAGGCCAUGCUGCCCCCUCCCCCGACCCCUCUCCGCCGGGCGGGGAGGGAGCGAGGGAGGAGGGCCCGGCGGGCACAACCUGCCCGGCUCCUCCCACCCCCGCCGGCCCGCCGGCCGCCGUGCGCAUAAAACCCGCCGGUGGCGCCGGGCCGCGCUGGGACCGAACGCCGGGAGCCGCGCCCGGACCGCGCCGGAGGAGAACGGAGGCGGCGGGAACGGAACGGAACGGCGGCAGCGGCCCGGGGCCCCGCGGGCGCUUUGUCCUCGGCCGCGCCGCUCCGCACCUGCGCUGGCGGACAAAAGGCCGCGGGCUCUGCCCCACCGCGGCGGCCUCGGCCGGGCCGCGCUGCGCCGGGUCCUGCGGGUGCCCCGGGGCGAGGCCCGGCUCGGGCCGCUCGAGUUCGCCGCGGCGGCUCCGGAGCUCCCGGCGGCGGAGGAGGCACCGGCAGCGGGCGGGUUAAAGCCGGCGGGCUGAAGGCCCGGCCCGGCCCCCGGGGCUGCCCUGCCCGCCCGGAGCGCUCCCGAGGCCACGGCCCCCGCCGAGCGGAGGCUGCCGGUGGGCUCGGGCUCCCAGCGGGGCCGCGGGCGGGGAGGGGAGAGCUCGCACCCGGGGCUGCUGCCCGGAGCUCGGCGCUGCCCGCCCGGACGGCUCCUCCGGCGGAGCCCCGCACCGCGGCCGGACGGCCCUGCUUGCGGCACCGGAGCAGCGGUUCGGCGCGGCCCGGCCUGAGCCCCAACCCGCGGACGGAGCGGGGCGGCCCCGCCGCUCAGCAGCUCCUCGCUCGUACAAAUCAACAGAGCUGUGCCAAGCUCCGGCGUCUCGCUGCCCUCCCGCAAGUUCAGCCGUGUGCUGCGGGCCCCGCGCUCUGCUCAGCGCUCGGGCAAGCUGGCAUGGAGGAGCCCGGUGAGGAACAAGUGAAAUGUUGGGUGUCAGAUGAGAACUGGAGCCUCUCUGCCCUGCCUGCACAGCGCGUCGCCCUGAGAAAGGGCACUUGUUAGCAUUGGUGACACAUCAGAACGCAGCAGCACACAAAGCCUCUCUCAGGACAGGGGCACUGCAGGCUGACAGGCUGUUCCUGCUCUGUGCCACAGCGCUGCCAAACGUUCCCCUGCCCAUCUCCACACCUCAUCAGAGCCUUCCCCACAGAGCGAGGUGCCAAACGGCUGCAGAUAAUAAUGGAGAAGAGAGAAGAGGAUCAAAGCGAGCCACCAUCUGUGAACAUAAGAGGAAAAAGAGCAAUCUUCAGGAGGGGCUGGAUGGAGGAUGUGGUUGGAGCUGCAUCCCUGGCAGUGACAGCACACUGUACCACGUAACUUAUUCCAAGGCCCUUUCCAAAACACAGUCAUAUGUUGCGUUUCCACCUCUGGACCCCAAAGCCCUUUGGAAGUAUCAAUGCAUUUAUCUCUAUAACACACAAGCCUGAAAAAAUCUGUUGAUUAGUGACAGUAGGAAGCUUUCCUCACAGAGAAGUAAAUAUAUAAAACAUUCCAGACCUUAUGAUUGGAAAGAUGAUCUCCAAAUAUAAAAUAAUGCAGCAUUGUACUCCUGGGGCUGCAGACAGACAGCUGUAGUGCCUCUGUGGCUGCUGCUGAGAGGUUGCCAAACACCAGCGAGAUUAACAAAACUGCUCAGUUUUCUUGCUGCUAUUCAGCAUCUCGUGUGUGGUAGAGUGACACUAUCAAAAUCAUGUCCACUUCCUGCUGGGGUCGAUGAUUGGCAAAGUGCUGCCCAGCACCAGAGGCAGACACUGGAGUUAUUCAUGGGGAGAGGGAGGUUCCCAGAAGUGGAGGUUAGGGGAGGGGCAGGGCGGCAGGGCCUCCUUUGCUCUGCCAUCAUACGAGAGUGACAGAGAGACCAAGUCCUGGAGGCUUGGCUGUCCUGGAGGCUCAGCUGUGUCCCGGAGCCGGGAGGUUCUGGCCAGCGGGUACUCAGAGUUGUUUUGUUUUUCGUUCCAUUCGGACAGUUAAUAAACAAACUUGAACUGGAAUCCAAAUCACUCUUCUCCUAUUCAUGUUCCGACGCUGAACAAGCAAACCUGGAAGAUAUUAAGUGCAGCUCCAGGCAGCCCGGGGGCAAUGCCAGGCUCUGGAAGCAGCUUCUGGUCACGCUCCUGUGUGCUGGGGAAGUGAUGCUGACCCCCUGCAAGGCCAAGGGUAGAACUGCCCCACGCACUGCCACUGCGGCCACCUCUAAGGGAAUGGUUCGGCCGCUGUCUGCCUCGAGGGCACUGGGCUGGGGAGGCAGCAGGCACAGCCAGGGAGAACAGCUACUGAAAUUGAAGUGCUGAGGCUUUGCUCUGGUUGUGGGCAGGACAACAC
This 3615-nucleotide long non-coding RNA is filed under the name Gallus gallus (chicken). The record is from RNAcentral. Lineage: Eukaryota; Metazoa; Chordata; Aves; Galliformes; Phasianidae.